Caenorhabditis elegans is the source of this 21-nucleotide non-coding RNA. NCBI's taxonomy places the organism in Eukaryota, Metazoa, Nematoda, Chromadorea, Rhabditida, Rhabditidae. The record is from Ensembl.
UUAUUUGGAUUCCAUUCUGAA